CCUACGGGUGGCAGCAGUGGGGAAUAUUGGACAAUGGGGGGAACCCUGAUCCAGCCAUGCCGCGUGUGUGAAGAAGGCCCUCGGGUUGUAAAGCACUUUCAGUGAGGAAGAACGCCUGGUGGUUAAUACCCAUCAGGAAAGACAUCACUCACAGAAGAAGCACCGGCUAACUCCGUGCCAGCAGCCGCGGUAAUACGGAGGGUGCGAGCGUUAAUCGGAAUUACUGGGCGUAAAGCGCGCGUAGGUGGCUUGAUAAGCCGGUUGUGAAAGCCCCGGGCUCAACCUGGGAACGGCCUCCGGAACUGUCAAGCUAGAGUGCAGGAGAGGAAGGUAGAAUUCCCGGUGUAGCGGUGAAAUGCGUAGAGAUCGGGAGGAAUACCAGUGGCGAAGGCGGCCUUCUGGACUGACACUGACACUGAGGUGCGAAAGCGUGGGUAGCAAACAGGAUUAGAUACCCCUGUAGUC
RNAcentral lists this ribosomal RNA (465 nucleotides) under Vreelandella stevensii. Its description in RNAcentral is "partial 16S ribosomal RNA". It matches the Rfam family "Bacterial small subunit ribosomal RNA", at positions 338 to 795 of the family's 1533-position model. The record is from RNAcentral. Lineage: Bacteria; Pseudomonadati; Pseudomonadota; Gammaproteobacteria; Oceanospirillales; Halomonadaceae.